RNAcentral lists this ribosomal RNA (259 nucleotides) under uncultured prokaryote. RNAcentral describes it as "partial 16S ribosomal RNA". It matches the Rfam family "Bacterial small subunit ribosomal RNA", at positions 524 to 782 of the family's 1533-position model. The record is from RNAcentral.
UACGUAGGUGGCAAGCGUUAUCCGGAAUUAUUGGGCGUAAAGAGCGCGCAGGUGGUUGAUUAAGUCUGAUGUGAAAGCCCACGGCUUAACCGUGGAGGGUCAUUGGAAACUGGUCGACUUGAGUGCAGAAGAGGGAAGUGGAAUUCCAUGUGUAGCGGUGAAAUGCGUAGAGAUAUGGAGGAACACCAGUGGCGAAGGCGGCUCUCUGGACUGUAACUGACGCUGAGGCACGAAAGCGUGGGGAGCAAACAGGAUUAGA